This is a long non-coding RNA of Pogoniulus pusillus (Red-fronted tinkerbird), 844 nucleotides long. RefSeq lists it as uncharacterized. The transcript has 2 exons. The record is from RefSeq and is a predicted model, not a curated record. NCBI's taxonomy places the organism in Eukaryota, Metazoa, Chordata, Aves, Piciformes, Lybiidae.
CCUUAAUAACCUCAAUCAAGAAAUUGAAAACCAUGUGGGAGAUAGAGAGCACACAGGCAGCUGGACCAAGAGAUUUGACAACACGCAAAUCAGCAAUUCUUAGGAAGUCAAGUUGUUCAACAACUGCUCCAGAUAUUAAUGUCUGAAAUGAAAAAUUGAAGAAGUUGAAGAAGAUGCAAAAAUGCACAUGACUGUAUAGUUUUCUUUUGAUCUAUGUUUCUAGUAGUUUCCACUGAGAAAGUAGUUUCUUUAUGUACAGUUCUGAAAAAACUUUACACUUUCAGAGUUAUUUUUCCUCUUUCUUAAAGUCUCACUUAAGACAGCAGAAGUCUCUCAGCUGCUGUCUCUGCUAGCAUUCUGCUGUUCUUUUGCCAGCAAUAUCCAGCCUCCUCCCCCAAACACUGGAGAUCAAGGAUUUGUGUUCCUCAGAGUCCUGCACGAUACCUAUGGUCUGGAUCAUAAUAACUGAGGGAUGGAGUAGUCAGUCUCACAUUACAGGAAAGACACAGUAGCAUUUCCUACUCCGUAGUCAUGCCAUACUCCAAGCAUGCCUGCCUAAGUCUGCACAUCAAACGCAGCUGCCAAAUACUUCUGUUUCAGACUAUGACACCUAAAAUUCCAUGUUGCUUUUAUCUGAUGUAGUCAGUACAAUUCACUGACUCCAAAUUUACAUGAACCACCUAUUUAUACAUUGCUAGAGGGAACUUACUGUACUACAGUAUUACUGAGACUUUUUGAUAAGAGUUUGUAUGUUAAAUUCCUUUUUCAUUGUACACAAGUUGCAGAAAAAUACUGCACUGUUACAACUGUGAGAAGAAUGAAUUAAAAAAAUGCUUUGCUUUUA